This 1475-nucleotide ribosomal RNA is filed under the name uncultured Bordetella sp. RNAcentral describes it as "partial 16S-23S ribosomal RNA intergenic spacer". It matches the Rfam family "Bacterial small subunit ribosomal RNA". Lineage: Bacteria; Pseudomonadati; Pseudomonadota; Betaproteobacteria; Burkholderiales; Alcaligenaceae. The record is from RNAcentral.
UUCGAUUAUGGCUCCAGAUUGAACGCUGGCGGGAUACUUUACACAUGCAAGUCCGAACGGCAGCACGGACGCCCGGUCUGGUGGCGAGUGGCGAGCAGGGUGAAGUAUCAGGAACGUGCCUAGUAGCGGGGGAUAACUACCGCGAAAGCGUAGCUAAUACCACAUACGCCCAUCGGAGGACGGGGACCUUCGGGCCUCGCACUAUUAAGAGCGGCCGAUAUCGGAUUAGCGUUGGUGGGUAACGGCUCCCGCAAGGCGACGAUCCGUAGCUGGUUUGAGGACGACCAGCCACACUGGGACUGAGACACAGCCCAGACUCCUACGAGGCAGCAGUGGGGAAUUUUUGACAAUGGGGAAACCCUGAUCAGCCAUCCCGCGUGUGCGAUGAUGAAGGCCUUCGGAGUUGUAAAGCACUUUUGGCAGGAAAGGAAACGGCUGGGAUAAUGCCCCAUGCAACUGACUGUACCUGCAGAAUAAGCACCGGCUAACUACGUGCCAGCAGCCGCGGUAAUACGUAGGGUGCAAGCGUUAAUCGGAAUUACUGGGCGUAAAGCGUGCGCGACGGUUCGGGGAAAGAAGAUGUGAAAUCCAGAGCUUAACUUUGGAACUGCAUUUUUAACUACCGAGCUGGGGGUGUCAGAGGGAGGUGGAAUUCCACGCGUGUAUGAUGAAAUGCGUAGAUAUGGGAGCUUUACCGAUGUGAAGCAACCUCCUGGGAUAACACUGACGCUCAUGCACGAAAGCGUAGAACAAACAGGAUUAGAUACCCUGGUAGUCCACGCCUAAACGAUGUCAACUAGCUGUUGGGGCCUUCGGGCCUUGUGGCUGCAACUAACGCGUGAAGUUGACCGCCUGGGGAGUACGGUCGCAAGAUUAAAACUCGAGAGGAAUUGACGGGGACCCGCACAAGCGGUGGAUGAUGUGGAUUAAUUCGAUGCAACGCGAAAAAGCCUUACCUACCCUUGACAUGUCUGGAAUCCCGAAGAGAUUUGGGAGUGCUCGCCAAGAGAACCGGAACACAGGAAUUGCUGCAUGGCUGUCGUCAGCUCGUGUCGUGAAGAUGUUGGGUUAAGUCCCGCAACGAGCGCAACCCUUGUGGUAGUUGCUACGAAAGGGCACUCUAAUGAGACUGCCGGUGACAAACGGAGGAAGGUGGGGAUGACGUCAAGUCCUCAUGGCCCAUAUGAGUGAGGCUUCACGUCCUUACAAUGGUCGGGACAGAGGGUCGCCAACCCGCGAAGAGCCAAUCCCAGAAACCCGAUCAUGAGUCCGGAUCACCUAACAACUCGACUUUGCGUGAAGUCCGGAAUCGCUAGUAAUCGCGGAUCAGCAUGUCGCGGUGAAUACGUUCCCGGGUCUUGCUACACCGCCGUCGCACCAUGGGGGUGGGUUUUACCAGAAGUAGUUAGCCUAACCGUAAGGAGGGCGAUUACCACGGUAAGUUCAUGACUGGGGUGAAGUCGUAACAAGGUAAG